Molecule: ribosomal RNA, 187 nt
Filed under: uncultured bacterium
Lineage: Bacteria
Description: partial 16S ribosomal RNA
Rfam family: Bacterial small subunit ribosomal RNA
Source: RNAcentral
GCCUGCGUGAAGUUGGAAUUGCUAGUAAUCGCGGAUCAGCAUGCCGCGGUGAAUACGUUCCCGGGCCUUGUACACACCGCCCGUCACACCAUGGGAGCCGGUAAUACCCGAAGUCAGUAGCUUAACCGCAAGGAGGGCGCUGCCGAAGGUAGGAUUGGCGACUGGGGUGAAGUCGUAACAAGGUAUC